GAGGGAUAUUGCGCAAUGGGGGAAACCCUGACGCAGCGACGCCGCGUGGGUGAAGACGGUCUUCGGAUUGUAAAACCCUUUUCUGUGUGACGAGUAAGGACGGUAGCACAGGAAUAAGUCUCGGCUAACUACGUGCCAGCAGCCGCGGUAAAACGUAGGAGGCAAGCGUUAUCCGGAGUUACUGGGCGUAAAGCGCGCGCAGGCGGCGUGUUAAGUGUGGGGUCAAAGGUCCAGGCUCAACCUGGGAAAGGCAACACAGACUGACGCGCUGGAGGCAGCUAGAGGGACGCGGAAUUCGGGGUGUAGCGGUGAAAUGUGUAGAGAUCCCGAGGAACACCAGCGGUGAAGACGGCGUCCUGGGGCUGACCUGACGCUGAGGCGCGAAGGCGUGGGGAGCGAACGGGAUUAGAGACCCCGGUAGUCCACGCGGUAAACGAUGCCGACUGGACGUGCACCACUUCGGUGGGGCGUGUCGAAGCUAACGCGGGAAGUCGGCCGCCUGGGAAGUACGGUCGCAAGGCUA
RNAcentral lists this ribosomal RNA (523 nucleotides) under uncultured bacterium. RNAcentral's name for it is "bacterial SSU rRNA". It matches the Rfam family "Bacterial small subunit ribosomal RNA", at positions 356 to 896 of the family's 1533-position model. The record is from RNAcentral.